RNAcentral lists this ribosomal RNA (205 nucleotides) under Sydowia polyspora. RNAcentral describes it as "5.8S ribosomal RNA". The stretch from base 1 to 153 matches the Rfam family "5.8S ribosomal RNA". Rfam says of the family: 5.8S ribosomal RNA (5.8S rRNA) is a component of the large subunit of the eukaryotic ribosome. It is transcribed by RNA polymerase I as part of the 45S precursor that also contains 18S and 28S rRNA. Functionally, it is thought that 5.8S rRNA may be involved in ribosome translocation. The record is from RNAcentral. Lineage: Eukaryota; Fungi; Ascomycota; Dothideomycetes; Dothideales; Dothioraceae.
ACUUUCAACAACGGAUCUCUUGGUUCUCGCAUCGAUGAAGAACGCAGCGAAAUGCGAUAAGUAAUGUGAAUUGCAGAAUUCAGUGAAUCAUCGAAUCUUUGAACGCACAUUGCGCCCCUUGGUAUUCCGAGGGGCAUGCCUGUUCGAGCGUCAUUACACCACUCAAGCAUCGCUUGGUAUUGGGAACGGUCCGUCGAAAGGCGGG